This is a long non-coding RNA of Etheostoma cragini (Arkansas darter), 480 nucleotides long. RefSeq lists it as uncharacterized. The transcript is spliced from 2 exons. NCBI's taxonomy places the organism in Eukaryota, Metazoa, Chordata, Actinopteri, Perciformes, Percidae. The record is from RefSeq and is a predicted model, not a curated record.
AAUGAUCCAAUGUUUUCCCACGUUGAAACCAACAGUGAAAUGUAAUAUUGUAAAGUUUUUAGUUGUCAGUUUGUUGGUUUCUUCGGACGACAGUUGCUACUUUGUUAGCUUUAGCUGCUAGCCGGUGUCAGUGAGUGACAUUUAUCGCUAACAAAAUGUUUGGACCAAUCGUUCUAAAGACGCUUAAAAUUCAAAAUGUCAACGCAAGCACACAUAUUUACCUCUAUAUCACUGUUUUUGUUUUUAUUAAAGCCAUAUAACCACUACUACUAAACCACUCGGGCGCCCUGGAGAACUACAGUUGAUGAGAUUAUGUAACUGAGAUACGAGCGUCACAAGGAAGUCAUCAAGGUCAUGUUUAUCGUUUUUUUAUGUUAACUUUAUUGUAACUUGAAGUCUUUUGGAAAACACUCACUGCUGAGUCUCUCAUGACACUGUUUGCUUUUGCGUGAUACCGGUAUAAUAAACAAGUUCACACAG